RNAcentral lists this ribosomal RNA (250 nucleotides) under uncultured prokaryote. RNAcentral describes it as "partial 16S ribosomal RNA". It matches the Rfam family "Bacterial small subunit ribosomal RNA", at positions 524 to 773 of the family's 1533-position model. The record is from RNAcentral.
UACGUAGGGGGCAAGCGUUAUCCGGAUUUACUGGGUGUAAAGGGAGCGCAGACGGCCAUGCAAGUCUGAAGUGAAAUGCCGCAGCUCAACUGCGGAAUUGCUUUGGAAACUGUGCGGCUAGAGUGUCGGAGGGGUAAGCGGAAUUCCUAGUGUAGCGGUGAAAUGCGUAGAUAUUAGGAAGAACACCGGUGGCGAAGGCGGCUUACUGGACGAUGACUGACGUUGAGGCUCGAAAGCGUGGGGAGCAAAC